This 85-nucleotide transfer RNA is filed under the name Felis catus (domestic cat). It matches the Rfam family "tRNA". From Rfam's summary of the family: Transfer RNA (tRNA) molecules are approximately 80 nucleotides in length. Their secondary structure includes four short double-helical elements and three loops (D, anti-codon, and T loops). The record is from Rfam by way of RNAcentral. RNAcentral also lists the same sequence under 5 other names. Lineage: Eukaryota; Metazoa; Chordata; Mammalia; Carnivora; Felidae.
GCCUGGGUGGCUCAGUCGGUUAAGCGUCCGACUUCGGCUCAGGUCAUGAUCUCUCAGUUUGUGGGUUCAAGCCCCACGUCGGGCU